This is a long non-coding RNA of Cyprinodon variegatus (sheepshead minnow), 169 nucleotides long. RefSeq lists it as uncharacterized. The record is from RefSeq and is a predicted model, not a curated record. The transcript has 3 exons. NCBI's taxonomy places the organism in Eukaryota, Metazoa, Chordata, Actinopteri, Cyprinodontiformes, Cyprinodontidae.
GAUGAAGAUGGCUACCAUAUGAUCACAUCCAUCCCUCCAGCUGAUUCUGCAACCGAGCCCAUUGAGGGGAACACACAGGACUCUCCAAAUGAGAACACUGAUGUCUACCACGUGUAUUCUACCAUCACCGAUGAACCAGCUGGAUCUACCGUAGAGAGUCCGAUGUACU